GCGCCCAUAGCUCAAAUGGAUAGAGCGACAGACUACGGAUCUGUAGGUUGAGGGUUCGAUUCCUCCUGGGCGCG
Non-coding RNA from Candidatus Schekmanbacteria bacterium, 74 nucleotides. The record is from Rfam. NCBI's taxonomy places the organism in Bacteria, Candidatus Schekmaniibacteriota.